CUCGUACCUCAUCUCGAACGACCUGCUGGGCGCGUUCGCCGCGCACAAGUCGUCAUCGUCGUUUUCGUCGUCGGAGGGAGGGGAUGCAAGUCUGAAUGCCGCCGGGGAGGCGAACGGAAGCAAGGAGGAAAUGCAGCCAGGCAAACAGCCCGGUCCGGAGGGCGA
RNAcentral lists this non-coding RNA (165 nucleotides) under Pseudictyota dubia. The record is from RNAcentral. Lineage: Eukaryota; Bacillariophyta; Thalassiosirophyceae; Eupodiscales; Odontellaceae.